GGGCCCGCACAAGCGGAGGAGCAUGUGGUUUAAUUCGAUGAUACGCGAGGAACCUUACCCGGGCUUGAACGUGAGACGAAUGGUCAGGAAACUGGUCAGCCUACGGGCGUCUUGCGAGGUGCUGCAUGGUUGUCGUCAGCUCGUGCCGUGAGGUGUUAGGUUAAGUCCUGCAACGAGCGCAACCCUUACCCGUAGUUGCCAGCGCGUCAUGGGCGGGGACUCUACGGGAACUGCCUACGCAAGUAGAGAGGAAGGUGGGGAUGACGUCAAAUCAGCACGGCCCUUAUGUUCGGGGCUACACACGUGCUACAAUGGCAUGUACAGAGGGCAGCGACCGCGCGAGCGGCAGCCAAUCCUCAAAUCAUGUCUCAGUUCGGAUUGGAGUCUGCAACUCGACUCCAUGAAGUUGGAUUCGCUAGUAAUCGCGCAUCAGCCAUGGCGCGGUGAAUACG
RNAcentral lists this ribosomal RNA (452 nucleotides) under uncultured Bacteroidales bacterium. RNAcentral describes it as "bacterial SSU rRNA". It matches the Rfam family "Bacterial small subunit ribosomal RNA", at positions 917 to 1370 of the family's 1533-position model. The record is from RNAcentral. Lineage: Bacteria; Pseudomonadati; Bacteroidota; Bacteroidia; Bacteroidales.